GCGAAAGCGUGGGGAGCGAACAGGAUUAGAUACCCUGGUAGUCCACGCCGUAAACGUUGGGCGCUAGAUGUAGGGACCUUUCCACGGUUUCUGUGUCGUAGCUAACGCAUUAAGCGCCCCGCCUGGGGAGUACGGCCGCAAGGCUAAAACUCAAAGGAAUUGACGGGGGCCCGCACAAGCGGCGGAGCAUGCGGAUUAAUUCGAUGCAACGCGAAGAACCUUACCAAGGCUUGACAUACACCGGAAACGGCCAGAGAUGGUCGCCCCCUUGUGGUCGGUGUACAGGUGGUGCAUGGUUGUCGUCAGCUCGUGUCGUGAGAUGUUGGGUUAAGUCCCGCAACGAGCGCAACCCUCGUUCUAUGUUGCCAGCGCGUUAUGGCGGGGACUCAUAGGAGACUGCCGGGGUCAACUCGGAGGAAGGUGGGGAUGACGUCAAAUCAUCAUGCCCCUUAUGUCUUGGGCUUCACGCAUGCUACAAUGGCCGGUACAAAGGGCUGCGAUACCGUAAGGUGGAGCGAAUCCCAAAAAGCCGGUCUCAGUUCGGAUUGAGGUCUGCAACUCGACCUCAUGAAGUCGGAGUCGCUAGUAAUCGCAGAUCAGCAACGCUGCGGUGAAUACGUUCCCGGGCCUUGUACACACCGCCCGUCAAGUCAUGAAAGUCGGUAACACCCGAAGCCGGUGGCCUAACCCUUGU
This 694-nucleotide ribosomal RNA is filed under the name Curtobacterium sp. Its description in RNAcentral is "bacterial SSU rRNA". It matches the Rfam family "Bacterial small subunit ribosomal RNA", at positions 753 to 1444 of the family's 1533-position model. Lineage: Bacteria; Bacillati; Actinomycetota; Actinomycetes; Micrococcales; Microbacteriaceae. The record is from RNAcentral.